AGGCCUGUGGUGGGUUCGUCCAGGACAUAGACGCUGCGGCCGUUUGAGCGUUUCUGGAGCUCGGCCGCGAGCUUCACGCGCUGGGCCUC
This 89-nucleotide transfer RNA is filed under the name Arthrobacter sp. Bi26. RNAcentral describes it as "tRNA-Arg". Lineage: Bacteria; Bacillati; Actinomycetota; Actinomycetes; Micrococcales; Micrococcaceae. The record is from RNAcentral.